GCUGGGUGUGGUGGCUCAUGCCUGUAAUCCCAGCAAUUUGGGAGGCUGAGGUGGGAGGAUCACUUGAGUUCAGGAGUUCAAGACCAGCCUGGGCAACAUAGUGAGACCCCAUCUCUA
This is an unclassified non-coding RNA of Macaca fascicularis (crab-eating macaque), 117 nucleotides long. It matches the Rfam family "Metazoan signal recognition particle RNA". From Rfam's summary of the family: The signal recognition particle (SRP) is a universally conserved ribonucleoprotein. The record is from Ensembl. Lineage: Eukaryota; Metazoa; Chordata; Mammalia; Primates; Cercopithecidae.